Molecule: ribosomal RNA, 253 nt
Filed under: uncultured prokaryote
Description: partial 16S ribosomal RNA
Rfam family: Bacterial small subunit ribosomal RNA
Source: RNAcentral
ACGGAGGGUGCAAGCGUUGCUCGGAAUUAUUGGGCGUAAAGGGGAGGUAGGUGGUCUCGUUUGUCUGGGGUGAAAUCCCUGAGCUUAACUCAGGACGUGCCUCGGAAACGGCGAGACUGGAGUACUGGAGAGGCUAGCGGAAUACCCGGUGUAGCGGUGAAAUGCGUAGAGAUCGGGUGGAACACCAGAGGCGAAGGCGGCUAGCUGGACAGUUACUGACACUCAACUCCGAAAGCGUGGGGAGCAAACAGGA